RNAcentral lists this ribosomal RNA (445 nucleotides) under uncultured bacterium. Its description in RNAcentral is "partial 16S ribosomal RNA". It matches the Rfam family "Bacterial small subunit ribosomal RNA", at positions 354 to 796 of the family's 1533-position model. The record is from RNAcentral.
GUGAGGAAUAUUGGUCAAUGGGCGAGAGCCUGAACCAGCCAAGUAGCGUGAGGGAUGACUGCCCUAUGGGUUGUAAACCUCUUUUGCAGGGGGGUAAAGUGGUUCACGUGUGGACCAUUGCAAGUACCCUGCGAAUAAGGAUCGGCUAACUCCGUGCCAGCAGCCGCAGUAAUACGGAGGAUCCGAGCGUUAUCCGGAUUUAUUGGGUUUAAAGGGAGCGUAGGCGGGGGGUUAAGUCAGCUGUGAAAUGCCGUGGCCCAACCAUGGAACUGCAGUUGAAACUGGACCUCUUGAGAGUACAUAAGGAAGGCGGAAUUCGUGGUGUAGCGGUGAAAUGCAUAGAUAUCACGAAGAACUCCGAUUGCGAAGGCAGCUUUCCGGGGUACAUCUGACGCUGAAGCUCGAAAGUGCGGGAAUCAAACAGGAUUAGAUACCCUGGUAGUCC